Molecule: unclassified non-coding RNA, 331 nt
Filed under: air metagenome
Description: partial contains small subunit ribosomal RNA, internal transcribed spacer 1, and 5.8S ribosomal RNA
Rfam family: Eukaryotic small subunit ribosomal RNA (bases 1-46)
Source: RNAcentral
AAGUCGUAACAAGGUUUCCGUAGGUGAACCUGCGGAAGGAUCAUUAUUGAAUGUACUUGCAAAAGGUUGAAGCUGACUCUUCGGAGUAUGUGCUCGCCUCUUGUACUUACUAUUUUUCCACUUGUGAACCUUUGUAGAUGCAUGAAUGAAAAUAAACUCAUCUGAAAAAUGGUGGUUAGAGAGAUUUGUUCUAAUAGGGCAUUCUCUUGUUAGUAGUAGUUCAUCAUCUAUGUUAUAUCUACCCCUUAAUUGAAUGUUAAUGAAUGUCAUUUUUACUGGUCUUUGACCUUUAAACUUAAUACAACUUUCAGCAACGGAUCUCUUGGCUCUC